RNAcentral lists this ribosomal RNA (298 nucleotides) under Bacillus subtilis. Its description in RNAcentral is "partial 16S ribosomal RNA". It matches the Rfam family "Bacterial small subunit ribosomal RNA", at positions 60 to 350 of the family's 1533-position model. Lineage: Bacteria; Bacillati; Bacillota; Bacilli; Caryophanales; Bacillaceae. The record is from RNAcentral.
AGUCGAGCGGAAGAUGGGAGCUUGCUCCCUGAUGUUAGCGGCGGACGGGUGAGUAACACGUGGGUAACCUGCCUGUAAGACUGGGAUAACUCCGGGAAACCGGGGCUAAUACCGGAUGGUUGUUUGAACCGCAUGGUUCAAACAUAAAAGGUGGCUUCGGCUACCACUUACAGAUGGACCAUUGGCGCAUUAGCUAGUUGGUGAGGUAACGGCUCACCAAGGCAACGAUGCGUAGCCGACCUGAUGGGUGAUCGGCCACACUGGGACUGAGACACCCACCAGACUCCUACUGGAGGCG